GUUUGUUGAUGUAAGAGACGUUGCACAUGCACACAUUCAAGCUUUCGAAUCUCCUUCCGCUAACCGCAGAUAUUGUCUUGUUCACAAAGUCGUGCAUUCUCACGAUGCUUUGAAGAUCUUGCGAGAGCUAUAUCCUGCUCUACACCUUCCUGGGAAAUGUGAAGAUGAAGAGCCUUCCGUGCCAACCUAUAACAUAUCAAAUGAGAAAGCCAGAAGUCUGGGCAUCAGCUUCACUCCUUUGGAGGUGAGUUUUAAGGACACUGUGGAGAGCUUGAAAGAGAAGGGUUUCUUCAAGGACUGAUGCUACAACAGGCGACUAAAAGAAUGAAAACUAUGCCAAAGUCGAUUAGAUGGGCAUUUUCUGCCGCAACACACUUAUAUCGGAGUUUCCUUCGGGGCGAUCUGAAGUUUUCAAAUUUCUCCAGAAUUUCUACGAUGCCACCUGAAGCUUGCGGAUGCAGCUAUUGUCAUUGUCAGACGAAUGUUUGACUGUUAUCUGUAUUGAGUAGCUUGAAAUCCAGCGGCAAUCCAAGAAGUUCACAUUUGCAUGGUA
Long non-coding RNA from Syzygium oleosum, 553 nucleotides. RefSeq lists it as uncharacterized. The record is from RefSeq and is a predicted model, not a curated record. The transcript has 2 exons. NCBI's taxonomy places the organism in Eukaryota, Viridiplantae, Streptophyta, Magnoliopsida, Myrtales, Myrtaceae.